RNAcentral lists this non-coding RNA (45 nucleotides) under Schistosoma margrebowiei. Lineage: Eukaryota; Metazoa; Platyhelminthes; Trematoda; Strigeidida; Schistosomatidae. The record is from RNAcentral.
AUCCAGCUGACAAGUCCCAAACAAGACGAAACGUGUGUCCUGGAU